AUCAGGCCUCUUAAAGUCAGGAAGAUGCUGAGUUCACAGCACUGGGGCUGAACUCAAUUUACAGUAAUGUGCAGGAGAUCAGCCUGAGAUCUGCUGGGUGGAAGUGCCCAGACAUGUCUGCCUGUAUGAUCCUUCUGGACACAGAAAACAAAACAUUGGCAUUAAUGUUCCUCCAUCUGUAUUUGAGGUGAUCAGAUAUACCUCUUGAUUUUCAACUUUGCAUGAUGCCUGGCAGUGCAUCCCUCCAAAAGGAAGUGGGAAGAUUAAAGAAAGACUUGGAGGCCCUGGAAUGUGCCCAGAGAGGGGCAAUGAAGCUGUGAAUAGUCUGGAGCACAAGUCUUGUGGAGAGUGGCAGAGGGAAUUGGUGUUUGUUCAGUCUGGAGAAGAAGAAGCUCAGGGGAGACCUUAUUGCUCUCUACAAUGCCCUGAAAGGAGGCUGUGGUGAGCAAAUGGGCUGUUUGCAAGUGCCGUCCCUGCCUCACCCCUGGCUGAAUGGUUGCCUCUGACAUACAGCACCCCAACUGCUCCCAGGGCAGAUGAAUGAAACUUUGUCAGAGAGCACUGAAUGAAGAAGAAAGAGCUCAUUUCCCUCCCCAGAUUCCUCCUGAAUUCACGGGAGCUGAACAAAUAGUAUCAGAAAGUGUAUCAGGACAAGAGAGAAGACAGAAGCACAUAGGCAGAUUUUGGGGAAGCUGAUGAGCAUCCGCUCCCAUCACAGGUCUGUGAGCACCCUGACUUCAUUGCCUCCUUCUGCUGCCGCAAUGCU
Long non-coding RNA from Tympanuchus pallidicinctus (lesser prairie-chicken), 766 nucleotides. RefSeq lists it as uncharacterized. NCBI's taxonomy places the organism in Eukaryota, Metazoa, Chordata, Aves, Galliformes, Phasianidae. The record is from RefSeq and is a predicted model, not a curated record. The transcript is spliced from 3 exons.